UGGGGAAUAUUGCGCAAUGGGCGAAAGCCUGACGCAGCGACGCCGCGUGAGUGAUGAAGGCCUUCGGGUUGUAAAGCUCUGUGGGGAGAGAAGAAUAAGUCGUAGCUAACAUCUACGAUGAUGACGGUAUCUCCUUAGCAAGCACCGGCUAACUCUGUGCCAGCAGCCGCGGUAAGACAGAGGGUGCAAACGUUGUUCGGAAUUACUGGGCGUAAAGCGCAUGUAGGCGGUCGGGCAGGUCGGAUGUGAAAGCCCUUGGCUUAACCAAGGAAGUGCAUUCGAAACCGCUCGACUUGAGUCCUGGAGAGGAUAGUGGAAUUCUUGGUGUAGAGGUGAAAUUCGUAGAUAUCAGGAGGAACACCUGUGGCGAAAGCGGCUAUCUGGACAGUGACUGACGCUG
This 400-nucleotide ribosomal RNA is filed under the name uncultured bacterium. Its description in RNAcentral is "bacterial SSU rRNA". It matches the Rfam family "Bacterial small subunit ribosomal RNA", at positions 355 to 748 of the family's 1533-position model. The record is from RNAcentral.